RNAcentral lists this unclassified non-coding RNA (292 nucleotides) under uncultured fungus. RNAcentral's name for it is "sequence contains ITS1". Lineage: Eukaryota; Fungi. The record is from RNAcentral.
GGACUACCAGGGUAUCUAAUCCUGUUCGCUCCCCACGCUUUCGCUCCUCAGCGUCAGUUACGGCCCAGAGAUGUGCCUUCGCCAUUGGUGUUCCUCCUGAUAUCUGCGCAUUCCACCGCUACACCAGGAAUUCCCAUCUCCCCUACCGCACUCUAGUCUGCCCGUACCCACUGCAGGUCCAAGGUUGAGCCUUGGAUUUUCACAGCAGACGCGACAAACCGCCUACGAGCUCUUUACGCCCAAUAAUUCCGGACAACGCUUGCACCCUACGUAUUACCGCGGCGGCUGGCAC